GAUGAACGCUAGCGGCAGGCCUAAUACAUGCAAGUCGGACGGGAUCCAUUGAUAGCUUGCUAUCAAUGGUGAGAGUGGCGCACGGGUGCGUAACGCGUGAGCAACCUGCCUCCAUCAGGGGGAUAGCCUCUCGAAAGAGAGAUUAACACCGCAUAAUAUCAACAGUUCGCAUGUUCAGUUGAUUAAAUAUUUAUAGGAUGGAGAUGGGCUCGCGUGACAUUAGCUAGUUGGUAGGGUAACGGCUUACCAAGGCGACGAUGUCUAGGGGCUCUGAGAGGAGAAUCCCCCACACUGGUACUGAGACACGGACCAGACUCCUACGGGAGGCAGCAGUAAGGAAUAUUGGUCAAUGGGCGGAAGCCUGAACCAGCCAUGCCGCGUGCAGGAUGACUACCCUAUGGGUUGUAAACUGCUUUUGUCCAGGAAUAAACCUAAAUACGAGUAUUUAGCUGAAUGUACUGGAAGAAUAAGGAUCGGCUAACUCCGUG
Molecule: ribosomal RNA, 488 nt
Filed under: uncultured bacterium
Lineage: Bacteria
Description: partial 16S ribosomal RNA
Rfam family: Bacterial small subunit ribosomal RNA
Source: RNAcentral